Molecule: ribosomal RNA, 393 nt
Filed under: Klebsiella aerogenes
Lineage: Bacteria; Pseudomonadati; Pseudomonadota; Gammaproteobacteria; Enterobacterales; Enterobacteriaceae
Description: bacterial SSU rRNA
Rfam family: Bacterial small subunit ribosomal RNA
Source: RNAcentral
GCCGCGUGUAUGAAGAAGGCCUUCGGGUUGUAAAGUACUUAUCAGCGAGGAGGAAGGCAUUAAGGUUAAUAACCUUGGUGAUUGACGUUACUCGCAGAAGAAGCACCGGCUAACUCCGUGCCAGCAGCCGCGGUAAUACGGAGGGUGCAAGCGUUAAUCGGAAUUACUGGGCGUAAAGCGCACGCAGGCGGUCUGUCAAGUCGGAUGUGAAAUCCCCGGGCUCAACCUGGGAACUGCAUUCGAAACUGGCAGGCUAGAGUCUUGUAGAGGGGGGUAGAAUUCCAGGUGUAGCGGUGAAAUGCGUAGAGAUCUGGAGGAAUACCGGUGGCGAAGGCGGCCCCCUGGACAAAGACUGACGCUCAGGUGCGAAAGCGUGGGGAGCAAACAGGAUUA